RNAcentral lists this ribosomal RNA (221 nucleotides) under uncultured bacterium. RNAcentral's name for it is "partial 16S ribosomal RNA". It matches the Rfam family "Bacterial small subunit ribosomal RNA", at positions 28 to 244 of the family's 1533-position model. The record is from RNAcentral.
GAUGAACGCUAGCAGAACGCCUAACACAUGCAAGUCGAACGGAUUUCUUUUGGUAGCAAUACUGGAUGAAAUUAGUGGCAAACGGGCGAGUAACACGUACUUAACCUACCCUGGAGACGGGAACAACUACAGAGAUGUAGCUAAAUCCCGAUAUUCUGUAAGGAAUGAAAAUACUUACAGGAAAUAAUUUAUUGCUCUAGGGAGGGGGUGGGUCGGCCGUA